UACUGCUGGAAAAAAAUAAAAAUGAACUGUAUAAAAAUUUUGGAUCUUUGUCCCUUCCCCCACUGUUUCGGUUACCAUCAUUUGCUUUCUAGAGGAGUGACCCUCCACAAAGAAAAUGAUGGUAACCGACAUGUGGAAGAGCCAAACACACACACACAAUCACACACAUAAUCUACAUCACCUGUGCAGCAGCAGAUGCUCAUCAUCAGUACAGUCAGUGUCUGUCCACACGUCUCUGUUUCUGUUCAACAGGUUUACAGUCCACAACACUUCACUGAUCCUGUAGAGUCGACACACAAAUGAACACAUUAUUAAACACACUGAAUAUCUGAUCUAACAACAGACAAAUAUUACAUGUGUAUUAAAUAUUGCGCCCUCCUGUGGAGAUUUCUCUGAACUUCACGUUUGCAAAUCUUGAAUUUACUGAAUUUGAAAUAUUCGCCCUCUUGUGGUGAUUUUGUGGACUGCGCUGCUGCUGUUCUAAAAUACUGAACGUUUCUCCCUCCUGUGGAGAUAUUUCUGAAUUACACCACUGCGAAUUUGAUGAAUUUAAAAUGUUCGCCCUCGUGUGGUGAUUUUGGUGAAUGACACCACUGCAAAUCUAAUUGAAUGAAUUUAAACACGUCGCCCUCCUGUGGAGAUAUUUCUGAAUUACAGCUUUGCAGAUCCGUUGAUUUGAAGGAUUGUGGUGAUUUUCCUGAACUUCAGCACAGCAGAUGUAAAGCACUGAGAUUUCACUUCCUGUGGUGCAGCUGUAGUUAUGUGUAUUUUCAUCUGAGCCUGGUUCUUUCGAGGUUUUUUUUUUCUUCAUUUUCGCCAAUUGGUGAAGUUUUUGUUGUACAGUUGGCGGUUCAUUUCCGUUGUUUGGUACGAUUGCAUUCAUACCAGAAGUGAACCGUACCAGAGUUCGCUUGAACCGAACCCCAGACCACCUCUUUCAGGCGGACUCGGGUACGGUUCACAUGUGCGCACCCAAGUUCAGAAUAUUGGAAAUAUGUCACAUUGUGAUAUUUAGAUUUCUGUGAUUUAUAUUGUGAAAUGAGAACAAUUUCACCAGAUGACUUGAACGGCUCUAUGUGUACAGAAUUGAUCAUUUUAGAUUGAUUAGGAUGAUUCUGUAGAGGAGAUAAUCUGAAUAAAUUUAAUAAACAAUCUACAAGCUUAGAUAAAUGCAGUGAAGAGAAAGAUAGAGAUGAAAUAAACAAUGUUUUACUGUUUGCUGAAGAGUCUAACCGUACUCAGGUACAGCAACUGAAUAAUCAAAUGUAAAAUAACACUGCAUAGCCUAGAUAACUCAGUUAAAUGAACCGUUAUUAAAGUUACGAAUGGAAGAAUUUCUUGGGCCUAAUCUGAAAAUCAGGAUCUUUAUACCUUUGUUGAUGCCAUUUGUGGCCCUCUGUCAGAGUAUAAUUGCUGUGUGUUUGUUAUUGUAAGGCAGCGAGAUCGGCCAGCCAACUCUAUGUGAGUGUCACAGAACGGCAAACUGUCUUCAGUAAACUCUCUUAAUCUUAUUGAAUCUCCGGCUCGGAGUCUUCUCUUGAUCGGACACACCAGUCGUUUUGCUCUCAACUGUUAAUUUCCCUCCUAACAAUGUGUCUGUGUGUUUAACCACUUUUUAACUUUUACAGCAUAAACUCAACAUCUAAUCAGUAAUAAGUGAUUAUUUUUGCUCUCUUUAUUCAGAACUUCAGCUCAAAUUCUUGAUUAACAAUGUGGAAAUAUCAAACCAAUAUGAAUGUAACAUAAAAGAAUUCCCAAAAGCUGAUGAUUACAGACUCGACAUCAAAUAUUGAUAAAUGAAGUGUAAAACAUGAAUAUUGUACUGUAAAGCGUGUGACUUUCUCACCAUGAUGUUCUUCACUCCAGAUUGUCAUUUAGCCUGUGUGUAAUUAAUGCGCCUCUCAUCAAUAAACAUACAUUUAAUUUAUUUGACGAGCUUUUAUAUUGGGGAUGCAGAAUAUUUUCAUGGCUCACAGAUUUAAUUGACGCAGACACAAAUAAUAAUUUUACCAACAGAAAUAUGAACUCGUUUCCUUCCAUAAAUGCCCUAUAAAGAUGACUGGCUGCUUUUUUAAAUCUUGUGAACUCUGCAAGAGGCAGAUUUGAUCAGUCUUUCUCCAAUAGUAUCUGGAUGCAGACCUAGAUUUUUAAGCUGAAACUGCAUAUAUCAGACACAAUGCACCCAGUUCAGCUAGUGACGUCACUGUGAGGGGUGGGGUUAGGUGUGCGCAUUAAAGCGCAGUUUCGAUCCGCUCCACUAGGCGGCAUCAGCGAGCUUGCUCUUUUAGCCUGAACACCUUUGACAACAGCGACACAGAUCAACACAGGUACACCGUUUUACUGGUGUCAAGAUGAGCUCCAGCAGAUGACAGCUCAGUGCCAGACUCAUAAUGUCAGUCAACAGCAGAUAUUACAGCCCGACAGCGAAGAAAAGCCACACAAAGUGCAGAAAUGCAGAGUAACGCGACUCACCUGUAAGUGACUUUGUUUCGUUGGUUUAGUUUGUGGUGAUGUUGUAGUGUUUGUGUUCAGUCAUUGCUCUCUCUCUCUCUCUCUCUCUCUCUCUCUCUCUCUCUCUCUCUCUCUCUCCUCUGCAGCAGUGAAGAUACACACGUGUGUCUGUUGUGUUUCUGCUGCAGAUCUUUGACCAGCGCUCAACAGCUGAUGCUCCUCCACACACUCCUCCACAUCCAGGCGGAUUCACAGCUCCAGUAAAGAAUCUACCAAGCCAGGUCAGAGGUGUGUAGCAGCAGCUGCCAGUCUGGAUGUAGACUACACCAGUAUUAACCAGUUUCAGAUAAGACGGCUGAGAGUACGAGAAACAGCCUUGAGGAUGAAACAGGUCGUUCUCUGUAGAGCUGCUCGAUAUUGGAAAUAUGUCACAUUGUGAUAUUUAGAUUUCUGUGAUUUAUAUUGUGAUAUGAGAACAAUUUCACCAGAUGACUUGAACGGCUCUAUGUGUACAGAAUUGAUCAUUUUAGAUUGAUUAGGAUGAUUCUGUAGAGGAGAGCAUCUGAAUAAAUAUAAUAAACAAUCUACAAGCUUAGAUAAAUGCAGCGAAGAGGAAGAUAGAGAUGAAAUAAACAAUGUUUUACUGUUUCCUGAAGAGUCUAACAGUACUCAGGUACAGCAACUGAAUAAUCAAAUGUAAAAUAAUACUGCAUAGUCAAGAGCAGUGUUUCCCAACCCUGUUCCUGGAGGCACACCAACAGUACAUAUUUUGGAUGUCUCCCUUUUCUGACCCAUUAACUUCAGGUGUUGGAGUCUCUUCUGAUGUUAUGAUCAGUUGAUUCAGGUCUGUUUGAUUAGGGAGAGGUUGAAAAUGUGUACUGUUGGUGUGCCUUCAGGAACAGGGUUGGGAAACACUGGUCUAGAUAACUCAGUUACAUGAACCGUUAUUAAAGUUACGAAUGGAAGAAUUUCUUAGGCCUGAACUGAAAAUCAGGAUCUUUAUACCUUUGUUGACGCCAUUUGUGGCCCUCUGUCAGAGUAUAAUUGCUGUGUGUUUGUUAUUGUAAGGCAGCGAGAUCGGCCAGCCAACUCUAUGUGAGGGUCACAGAACGGCAAACUGUCUUCAGUAAACUCUCUUAAUCUUAUUGAAUCUCCAGCAAACAAACAAAUAGACUAUGAAUGUAACAUAAAAGAAUUCCCAAAAGCUGAUGAUUACAGACUUGACAUCAAAUAUUGAUAAAUGAAGUGUAAAACAUGAAUAUUGUACUGUAAAGCGUGUGACUUUCUCACCAUGAUGUUCUUCACUCCAGAUUGUCAUUUAGCCUGUGUGUAAUUAAUGCGCCUCUCAUCAAUAAACAUACAUUUAAUUUA
This is a long non-coding RNA of Danio aesculapii, 3822 nucleotides long. RefSeq lists it as uncharacterized. Lineage: Eukaryota; Metazoa; Chordata; Actinopteri; Cypriniformes; Danionidae. The record is from RefSeq and is a predicted model, not a curated record. The transcript has 2 exons.